RNAcentral lists this ribosomal RNA (381 nucleotides) under uncultured eukaryote. RNAcentral describes it as "partial 18S ribosomal RNA". It matches the Rfam family "Eukaryotic small subunit ribosomal RNA", at positions 592 to 976 of the family's 1831-position model. The record is from RNAcentral.
CAAUAGCGUAUAUUAAAGUUGUUGCGGUAAAAAAGCUCGUAGUUGGAUUUCUACCGAAGAUAGCCGGUCGGGUCUUCGACCUUGUAUCUGGUUUUGUCUUUGGUAUCCUCAUAGGGAACGUUUCUGCGCUUUAUUGCGUGGUGCGGUAUCUAUGACUUUUACUUUGAGGAAAUUAGAGUGUUCACGGUAGGCAAACGCCUUGAAUAUAUUAGCAUGGAAUAAUAACAUAGGAUCUUCGUCCUAUUUUGUUGGUUUCUAGGGCUAAGAUAAUGAUUAAUAGGGAUAAUUGGGGGCAUCUGUAUCAACGCGUCAGAGGUGGAAUUCUUGGAUUGCGUUGCGACAAACUACUGCGAAAGCAUUUGCCAAGGAUGUUUUCAUUGA